GACGAACGCUGGCGGCGUGCCUAAUACAUGCAAGUCGAGCGGACUGAUUAAGAGCUUGCUCUUAUGACGUUAGCGGCGGACGGGUGAGUAACACGUGGGCAACCUGCCCUGUAGAUCGGGAUAACACCGAGAAAUCGGUGCUAAUACCGGGUAAUAUCUGAGAUCACAUGAUCUUAGGUUAAAAGAUGGCUCCGGCUAUCACUACAGGAUGGGCCCGCGGCGCAUUAGCUAGUUGGUAAGGGAAUGGCUUACCAAGGCGACGAUGCGUAGCCGACCUGAGAGGGUGACCGGCCACACUGGAACUGAGACACGGCCCAGACUCCUACGGGAGGCAGCAGUAGGGAAUCUUCCGCAAUGGACGACAGUCUGAAGGAGCAACGCCGCGGGGGUGAUGAAGGGUUUCGGCUCGUAGAGCUCUGUUGUUAGGGAAGAAACAGUACCGAACGAAAUAGGUCGGUACCUUGACGGUACCUAACCAGAAAGCCACGGCUAACUACGUG
This 500-nucleotide ribosomal RNA is filed under the name uncultured bacterium. RNAcentral describes it as "partial 16S ribosomal RNA". It matches the Rfam family "Bacterial small subunit ribosomal RNA", at positions 28 to 507 of the family's 1533-position model. The record is from RNAcentral.